This 406-nucleotide ribosomal RNA is filed under the name uncultured bacterium. Its description in RNAcentral is "partial 16S ribosomal RNA". It matches the Rfam family "Bacterial small subunit ribosomal RNA", at positions 30 to 526 of the family's 1533-position model. The record is from RNAcentral.
AUUGAACGCUGGCGGCAUGCUUUACACAUGCAAGUCGGACGAGUGGCGAACGGGUGAGUAACGCAUCGGAACGUACCGAGUAAUGGGGGAUAACUGUCCGAAAGGGCAGCUAAUACCGCAUAUUAUUCGAGCGGCCGAUGUCUGAUUAGCUGGUUGGUGGGGUAAAGGCUCACCAAGGCGACGAUCAGUAGCGGGUCUGAGAGGAUGAUCAGCCACACUGGAACUGGGACACGGGCCAGACUCCUACGGGAGGCAGCAGUGGGGAAUUUUGGACAAUGGGCGCAAGCCUGAUCCAGCCAUGCCGCGUGUCUGAAGAAGGCCUUCGGGUUGUAAAGGACUUUUAUCAGGGAAGCGGUACUUGAAGAAUAAGCACCGGCUAACUACGUGCCAGCAGCCGCGGUAAUUC